Molecule: ribosomal RNA, 446 nt
Filed under: uncultured bacterium
Lineage: Bacteria
Description: bacterial SSU rRNA
Rfam family: Bacterial small subunit ribosomal RNA
Source: RNAcentral
GAUGAACGCUGGCGGCGUGCUUAACACAUGCAAGUCGAACGAAGCACUUUAUUUGAUUUCCUUCGGGACUGAUUAUUUUGUGACUGAGUGGCGGACGGGUGAGUAACGCGUGGGUAACCUGCCUUGUACAGGGGGAUAACAGUUGGAAACGGCUGCUAAUACCGCAUAAGCGCACAGCAUCGCAUGGCGCAGUGUGAAAAACUCCGGUGGUAUAAGAUGGACCCGCGUUGGAUUAGCUAGUUGGUGAGGUAACGGCCCACCAAGGCGACGAUCCAUAGCCGACCUGAGAGGGUGACCGGCCACAUUGGGACUGAGACACGGCCCAAACUCCUACGGGAGGCAGCAGUGGGGAAUAUUGCACAAUGGGCGAAAGCCUGAUGCAGCGACGCCGCGUGAGCGAAGAAGUAUUUCGGUAUGUAAAGCUCUAUCAGCAGGGAAGAUAAUGA